Molecule: ribosomal RNA, 442 nt
Filed under: Theileria orientalis
Lineage: Eukaryota; Apicomplexa; Aconoidasida; Piroplasmida; Theileriidae
Description: SSU rRNA
Rfam family: Eukaryotic small subunit ribosomal RNA
Source: RNAcentral
AUUGGAGGGCAAGUCUGGUGCCAGCAGCCGCGGUAAUUCCAGCUCCAAUAGCGUAUAUUAAAAUUGUUGCAGUUAAAAAGCUCGUAGUUGAAUUUCUGCUGCAUUUCAUUUCUCUUUCUGAGUUUGUUUUUGCGGCUUAUUUCGGUUUGAUUUUUUCUUUCCGGAUGAUUACUUUGAGAAAAUUAGAGUGCUCAAAGCAGGCUUUUGCCUUGAAUAGUUUAGCAUGGAAUAAUAAAGUAGGACUUUGGUUCUAUUUUGUUGGUUUUAGGUACCAAAGUAAUGGUUAAUAGGAACAGUUGGGGGCAUUCGUAUUUAACUGUCAGAGGUGAAAUUCUUAGAUUUGUUAAAGACGAACUACUGCGAAAGCAUUUGCCAAGGAUGUUUUCAUUAAUCAAGAACGAAAGUUAGGGGAUCGAAGACGAUCAGAUACCGUCGUAGUCCU